Molecule: ribosomal RNA, 548 nt
Filed under: uncultured bacterium
Lineage: Bacteria
Description: bacterial SSU rRNA
Rfam family: Bacterial small subunit ribosomal RNA
Source: RNAcentral
GGGGAAUUUUGGACAAUGGGCGCAAGCCUGAUCCAGCUAUGCCGCGUGUCUGAAGAAGGCCUUCGGGUUGUAAAGGACUUUUGUCAGGGAAGAAAAGGCUGUUGCUAAUAUCGACAGCUGAUGACGGUACCUGAAGAAUAAGCACCGGCUAACUACGUGCCAGCAGCCGCGGUAAUACGUAGGGUGCGAGCGUUAAUCGGAAUUACUGGGCGUAAAGCGAGCGCAGACGGUUACUUAAGCAGGAUGUGAAAUCCCCGGGCUCAACCUGGGAACUGCGUUCUGAACUGGGUGACUAGAGUGUGUCAGAGGGAGGUAGAAUUCCACGUGUAGCAGUGAAAUGCGUAGAGAUGUGGAGGAAUACCGAUGGCGAAGGCAGCCUCCUGGGAUAACACUGACGUUCAUGCUCGAAAGCGUGGGUAGCAAACAGGAUUAGAUACCCUGGUAGUCCACGCCCUAAACGAUGUCAAUUAGCUGUUGGGCAACUUGAUUGCUUAGUAGCGUAGCUAACGCGUGAAAUUGACCGCCUGGGGAGUACGGUCGCAAGAUUA